UUGUGGAGGAGGACGCCGAAGGUGGGGCUAAUGACUGGGGUGAAGUCGUAACAAGGUAGUCGUACCGGAAGGUGCGGCUGGAUCACCUCCUAACAGGGAGACAACAAAAUGUUUAAUAUUAUUAUUUUGUCACCUUAGGUCGAUCGGUAUCUCACGUUUUUAAUUUAUUAAGAAUUUCAUUUCCUAAGUUUUUCUAGGUCACACCCAUUAUUUUCCUGGGCCAUUAGCUCAGGUGGUUAGAGCGCACCCCUGAUAAGGGUGAGGUCCCUGGUUCAAGUCCAGGAUGGCCCAUAUCUCUAUGUUGGGGGUAUAGCUCAGUUGGUAGGGCGCCUGCUUUGCAAGCAGGAUGUCAGCGGUUCGAGUCCGCUUACCUCCACUGAUUACCACCUCUCCCAUAAAAUGUAGAAAGGAAAAUUAAUGAGUUGUGAUCAAAAUUCUGAACGAAUCUAGCUUCCUAAUGAAACUAUUAAGAUGCUGGACUCAUUGAAUUAAUUUCAUUGUUUUCAGAGAACCUUGACAACUGCAUAGAUUAUUUUUAAAGACAAUAAGCAUCUUUGAUGAUGCAGAUUUAUUAUUUGUGCAAAUGCAUUAAUAACAAUUCUAUUAAGCUGAUGCUUCAAUUAUGAAGUUAUUGGUCAAGCUACAA
This 646-nucleotide unclassified non-coding RNA is filed under the name uncultured Prochlorococcus sp. Its description in RNAcentral is "partial 16S-23S ribosomal RNA intergenic spacer; may also contain 16S ribosomal RNA and 23S ribosomal RNA". The stretch from base 1 to 93 matches the Rfam family "Bacterial small subunit ribosomal RNA", at positions 1441 to 1533 of the family's 1533-position model. Lineage: Bacteria; Bacillati; Cyanobacteriota; Cyanophyceae; Synechococcales; Prochlorococcaceae. The record is from RNAcentral.